AGAGUUUGAUCCUGGCUCAGAAUGAACGCUGGCGGCGUGCUUAACACAUGCAAGUCGUACGAGAAAUCUUCAGCUUGCUGAAGAGAGUAAAGUGGCGCACGGGUGAGUAACGCGUGGGUAAUCUACCCUCGAAUUUGGGAUAACAUUGCGAAAGCGAUGCUAAUACCGGAUAAUAUCCAUUAGGCUUUGGUCUGUUGGAUCAAAGGUGGCCUCUACAUGUAAGCUACUGUUUGGGGAUGAGCCCGCGUACCAUUAGCUAGUUGGCAGGGUAAUGGCCUACCAAGGCAGCGAUGGUUAGCUGGUCUGAGAGGAUGAUCAGCCACACUGGAACUGACACACGGUCCAGACUCCUACGGGAGGCAGCAGUGAGGAAUUUUGCGCAAUGGGCGAAAGCCUGACGCAGCAACGCCGCGUGAGUGAUGAAGGCCCUCGGGUCGUAAAGCUCUGUCAAGUGGGAAGAACCUGAUUGGUAAUAAUACUGCCAUUCACUGACGGUACCACUGAAGGAAGCACCGGCUAACUCCGUGCCAGCAGCCGCGGUAAU
This 544-nucleotide ribosomal RNA is filed under the name uncultured delta proteobacterium. RNAcentral describes it as "bacterial SSU rRNA". It matches the Rfam family "Bacterial small subunit ribosomal RNA", at positions 8 to 524 of the family's 1533-position model. Lineage: Bacteria; Deltaproteobacteria. The record is from RNAcentral.